RNAcentral lists this long non-coding RNA (689 nucleotides) under Cricetulus griseus (Chinese hamster). Its description in RNAcentral is "lncRNA (ENSCGRG00000025295.1)". The record is from RNAcentral. Lineage: Eukaryota; Metazoa; Chordata; Mammalia; Rodentia; Cricetidae.
UAGCAGGCGCAGGCCAUCAAAUCUUUGCCAGGUCCAGACAGUAACAAACAUGGCUAUCGUGGUCUCUCUCUGCAGGGUGUUCUUCCUUAAUGUGCCAUUGGAUUCCAUCCUAGAGCGACUGACACUGAGAAGGACUGACCCUGUCACAGGAGAAAGGUUCCAUCUUAUGUACAAGCCUCCUCCCACUAUUGAGGUCCAGGCCCGUCUCCUGCAGAACCCCAAGGACUCAGAGGAGUAUAUCAGGCUUCGAACGGACCUGUUCUACAGGAACUCUGGGGAUCUGGAGCAGUACUACCAGCGGGCUAUCACUGUCAACGCAGACCAGGACCCAUACACAGUCUUCGAGUACAUAGAGAGCGGGAUCAUUAAUCCUCUGCCCAGGAAAGUGACCUGAUACGUGCAAAGCCAGGAGCAAGCCCUGGAGACACUAGAAUCCUCUGCCCAUGACCUUCAGCAGACAUCCACCCUACCCUCCACCCCCCAAAACCCCGCCAAUAAAAAUGCUAGACACAACCUCAGGUAGCCUCCUUAGGGAGUCUGAGAACACAGGGCAGAGGCCCAUGGGGGGUGCGGUGGAAUGCUAGAUGCUAGGCCUUCCUCUAAAGUCAGAUGUAGAUAAAGCCCACCUAAAGCAGCAGCAGCAUCCUGUUAGGAAUAAAGCUCGUGGCGGAUUCCAUGGCAGGCGAGGA